ACGUCAGUAUCGCUUGUGUUAUGCUAUCGAGCGGAACGACUUAACUGAACCUUCGGGGAACGUUAAGGGCGUGAGCGGCGGACGGGUGAGUAAUGCCUAGGAAAUUGCCCUGAUGUGGGGGAUAACCAUUGGAAACGAUGGCUAAUACCGCAUGAUGCCUACGGGCCAAAGAGGGGGACCUUCGGGCCUCUCGCGUCAGGAUAUGCCUAGGUGGGAUUAGCUAGUUGGUGAGGUAAUGGCUCACCAAGGCGACGAUCCCUAGCUGGUCUGAGAGGAUGAUCAGCCACACUGGAACUGAGACACGGUCCAGACUCCUACGGGAGGCAGCAGUGGGGAAUAUUGCACAAUGGGCGCAAGCCUGAUGCAGCCAUGCCGCGUGUGUGAAGAAGGCCUUCGGGUUGUAAAGCACUUUCAGUCGUGAGGAAGGUGGUGUAGUUAAUAGCUCUAUUAUUUGACGUUAGCGACAGAAGAAGCACCGGCUAACUCCGUGCCAGCAGCCGCGGUAAUACGGAGGGUGCGAGCGUUAAUCGGAAUUACUGGGCGUAAAGCGCAUGCAGGUGGUUUGUUAAGUCAGAUGUGAAAGCCCGGGGCUCAACCUCGGAAUAGCAUUUGAAACUGGCAGACUAGAGUACUGUAGAGGGGGGGUAGAAUUUCAGGUGUAGCGGU
This 666-nucleotide ribosomal RNA is filed under the name Vibrio sp. MR06-78. RNAcentral's name for it is "bacterial SSU rRNA". It matches the Rfam family "Bacterial small subunit ribosomal RNA", at positions 33 to 682 of the family's 1533-position model. Lineage: Bacteria; Pseudomonadati; Pseudomonadota; Gammaproteobacteria; Vibrionales; Vibrionaceae. The record is from RNAcentral.